This 465-nucleotide ribosomal RNA is filed under the name Vreelandella stevensii. Its description in RNAcentral is "partial 16S ribosomal RNA". It matches the Rfam family "Bacterial small subunit ribosomal RNA", at positions 338 to 795 of the family's 1533-position model. The record is from RNAcentral. Lineage: Bacteria; Pseudomonadati; Pseudomonadota; Gammaproteobacteria; Oceanospirillales; Halomonadaceae.
CCUACGGGGGGCUGCAGUGGGGAAUAUUGGACAAUGGGCGAAAGCCUGAUCCAGCCAUGCCACGUGUGUGAAGAAGGCCUUCGGGUUGUAAAGCACUUUCAGUGGGGAAGAAAGCCUUGGGGCUAAUACCCUCGAGGAAGGACAUCACCCACAGAAGAAGCACCGGCUAACUCCGUGCCAGCAGCCGCGGUAAUACGGAGGGUGCGAGCGUUAAUCGGAAUUACUGGGCGUAAAGCGCGCGUAGGCGGUCUGAUAAGCCGGUUGUGAAAGCCCCGGGCUCAACCUGGGAACGGCAUCCGGAACUGUCAGGCUAGAGUGCAGGAGAGGAAGGUAGAAUUCCCGGUGUAGCGGUGAAAUGCGUAGAGAUCGGGAGGAAUACCAGUGGCGAAGGCGGCCUUCUGGACUGACACUGACGCUGAGGUGCGAAAGCGUGGGUAGCAAACAGGAUUAGAUACCCUAGUAGUC